RNAcentral lists this ribosomal RNA (406 nucleotides) under uncultured bacterium. RNAcentral's name for it is "partial 16S ribosomal RNA". It matches the Rfam family "Bacterial small subunit ribosomal RNA", at positions 28 to 526 of the family's 1533-position model. The record is from RNAcentral.
GAUGAACGCUAGCUGCAGGCUUAACACAUGCAAGUCGAGGGACGGGCGCGCGGGUGAGUAACACGUAUCCCACCUGCCCUUUACUCGGGGAUAGCCUUUCGAAAGAAAGAUUAAUACCCGAUAUAAAGGAUGGGGAUGCGUUCGAUUAGGUUGUGGGUGAGGUAACGGCCCACCAAGCCUUCGAUGGAUAGGGGGUCUGAUAGGAAGGUACCCCAGAAUGGAACUACGACACGGUCCAAACUGCGACGCGAGGCAGGAGUGAGGAAUAUUGGUCAAUGGGCGCUAGCCUGAACCAGCCAAGUAGCGGGAAGGAUGAAGGCUUAUGGGUCGUAAACUGCUUUUAUAUAAGAAUAUGUAUUAUAUGAAUAAGGAUCGGCUAACUCCGUGCCAGCAGCCGCGGUAAUAC